Molecule: ribosomal RNA, 396 nt
Filed under: uncultured bacterium
Lineage: Bacteria
Description: partial 16S ribosomal RNA
Rfam family: Bacterial small subunit ribosomal RNA
Source: RNAcentral
AUACGUAGGUGGCGAGCGUUGUCCGGAUUUACUGGGUGUAAAGGGCGAGUAGGCGGGCUUGCAAGUCAGAUGUGAAAUACCGAGGCUCAACUUCGGGGCUGCAUUUGAAACUGCGAGUCUUGAGUGAUGGAGAGGCAGGCGGAAUUCCCAGUGUAGCGGUAAAAUGCAUAGAUAUUGGGAAGAACACCAGUGGCGAAGGCGGCCUGCUGGACAAUAACUGACGCUGAGGAGCGAAAGUGUGGGGAGCAAACAGGAUUAGAUGCCCUGGUAGUCCACACCGUAAACGAUGGAUACUAGGUGUGCGGGGACUGACCCCCUGCGUGCCGCAGUUAACACAAUAAGUAUCCCACCUGGGGAGUACGAUCGCAAGAUUGAAACUCAAAUGAAUUGACGGGG